This 463-nucleotide ribosomal RNA is filed under the name uncultured bacterium. RNAcentral describes it as "bacterial SSU rRNA". It matches the Rfam family "Bacterial small subunit ribosomal RNA", at positions 28 to 507 of the family's 1533-position model. The record is from RNAcentral.
GAUGAACGCUGGCGGCGUGCCUAACACAUGCAAGUCGAACGAGAACCCAUUCUUCGGAUUGGGGGACAGUGGCGAACGGGUGAGUAACACGUUGGUGACCUGCCCCGAAGACGGGAACAACCCUUCGAAAGGGGGGUUAAUGCCCGAUGUGCUUGCGUCUCUUAGAAGGACACAAGUAAAGCUCCGGCGCUUUGGGAUGGGCCUGCGGCCGAUUAGCUAGUUGGUAGGGGUAAUGGCCUACCAAGGCGAUGAUCGGUAGCUGGUCUGAGAGGACGAUCAGCCACACUGGCACUGAGAUACGGGCCAGACUCCUACGGGAGGCAGCAGUAAGGAAUAUUGCGCAAUGGGGGAAACCCUGACGCAGCAACGCCGCGUGGGUGAUGAAGGUUUUCGGAUCGUAAAACCCUUUUCUGGGGGAUGAGAAAGGACAGUACCCCAGGAAUAAGUCUCGGCUAACUACGUG